RNAcentral lists this ribosomal RNA (590 nucleotides) under Comamonadaceae bacterium TDB-155. RNAcentral describes it as "bacterial SSU rRNA". It matches the Rfam family "Bacterial small subunit ribosomal RNA", at positions 102 to 688 of the family's 1533-position model. The record is from RNAcentral. RNAcentral also lists the same sequence under 1 other name. Lineage: Bacteria; Pseudomonadati; Pseudomonadota; Betaproteobacteria; Burkholderiales; Comamonadaceae.
ACGGGUGAGUAAUAUAUCGGAACGUGCCCAGUCGUGGGGGAUAACUGCUCGAAAGAGCAGCUAAUACCGCAUACGACCUGAGGGUGAAAGCGGGGGAUCGCAAGACCUCGCGCGAUUGGAGCGGCCGAUAUCAGAUUAGGUAGUUGGUGGGGUAAAAGCCCACCAAGCCAACGAUCUGUAGCUGGUCUGAGAGGACGACCAGCCACACUGGGACUGAGACACGGCCCAGACUCCUACGGGAGGCAGCAGUGGGGAAUUUUGGACAAUGGGCGCAAGCCUGAUCCAGCCAUGCCGCGUGCGGGAAGAAGGCCUUCGGGUUGUAAACCGCUUUUGUCAGGGAAGAAAAGGUUCUGGUUAAUACCUGGGACUCAUGACGGUACCUGAAGAAUAAGCACCGGCUAACUACGUGCCAGCAGCCGCGGUAAUACGUAGGGUGCAAGCGUUAAUCGGAAUUACUGGGCGUAAAGCGUGCGCAGGCGGUUAUGCAAGACAGAUGUGAAAUCCCCGGGCUCAACCUGGGAACUGCAUUUGUGACUGCAUGGCUAGAGUACGGUAGAGGGGGAUGGAAUUCCGCGUGUAGCAGUGAAAUG